GACGAACGCUGGCGGCGUGCCUAAUACAUGCAAGUAGAACGCUGAAGGAGGAGCUUGCUUCUCCGGAUGAGUUGCGAACGGGUGAGUAACGCGUAGGUAACCUGCCUUGUAGCGGGGGAUAACUAUUGGAAACGAUAGCUAAUACCGCAUAACAGUAGAUGUUGCAUGACAUUUGCUUAAAAGGUGCAAUUGCAUCACUACCAGAUGGACCUGCGUUGUAUUAGCUAGUUGGUGAGGUAACGGCUCACCAAGGCGACGAUACAUAGCCGGCCUGAGAGGGGGAGUGGCCAGACUGGGAGGGAGACACGGCCCAGACUCCUACGGGAGGCAGCAGUAGGGAAGCUUUGGCAAUGGACGGAAGUCUGACCGAGCAACGGCGCGUGAGUGAAGAAGGGUGUCGGAUCGUAAAGCUCUGUUGUAAGAGAAGAAAGAGUGUGAGAGUGGAAAGUUCACACUGUGACGGUAUCUGACCAGAAAGGGACGGCUAACUACGUG
RNAcentral lists this ribosomal RNA (495 nucleotides) under uncultured bacterium. Its description in RNAcentral is "partial 16S ribosomal RNA". It matches the Rfam family "Bacterial small subunit ribosomal RNA", at positions 28 to 507 of the family's 1533-position model. The record is from RNAcentral.